GUGGGGAAUAUUGGACAAUGGGCGAAAGCCUGAUCCAGCAAUGCCGCGUGAGUGAUGAAGGCCCUAGGGUUGUAAAGCUCUUUUACCAGGGAUGAUAAUGACAGUACCUGGAGAAUAAGCUCCGGCUAACUCCGUGCCAGCAGCCGCGGUAAUACGGAGGGAGCUAGCGUUGUUCGGAAUUACUGGGCGUAAAGCGCGCGUAGGCGGUUUUUUAAGUCAGAGGUGAAAGCCCGGGGCUCAACCCCGGAAUUGCCUUUGAAACUGGAAAACUUGAAUCUUGGAGAGGUCAGUGGAAUUCCGAGUGUAGAGGUGAAAUUCGUAGAUAUUCGGAAGAACACCAGUGGCGAAGGCGACUGACUGGACAAGUAUUGACGCUGAGGUGCGAAAGCGUGGGGAGCAAACAGGAUUAGAAACCCCUGUAGUCC
Molecule: ribosomal RNA, 425 nt
Filed under: uncultured bacterium
Lineage: Bacteria
Description: partial 16S ribosomal RNA
Rfam family: Bacterial small subunit ribosomal RNA
Source: RNAcentral